GGCUAUGGUCAUACCACCCUAAAUGUAUCUGAUCUCAUCUGAUCUUGAAAGCUAAGCAGAAUUGAGUUUGGUUAGUACUUGGAUGGGAGAGUGCCUGGGAAUAGAGGUUCUGUAAGCA
RNAcentral lists this ribosomal RNA (118 nucleotides) under Castor canadensis (American beaver). Lineage: Eukaryota; Metazoa; Chordata; Mammalia; Rodentia; Castoridae. The record is from RNAcentral.